Balaenoptera ricei (Rice's whale) is the source of this 1502-nucleotide long non-coding RNA. RefSeq lists it as uncharacterized. NCBI's taxonomy places the organism in Eukaryota, Metazoa, Chordata, Mammalia, Artiodactyla, Balaenopteridae. The transcript is spliced from 5 exons. The record is from RefSeq and is a predicted model, not a curated record.
AGGUGCCUACGGACACAGUCGAUUAGGUGCCUUUUUCCACAGCGUCCGAGGUUUGCGCUCCAAGGUCGUGGGGGCCCGGCCGGGCGCGCACAGCCCUGCUGGCUUCUAUCCCUCUUGGUCUCACAGCCGUCAUCGUGGUCUCACAGCCGUCAUCGUGGUCUCACUUCACCGCCUUCCUGUACGUCCACCUCUCCUUCCAUGGGUCUUUCUUGGAGCACUGGCACCUGGAGUCACCUAUAGAUUGAGGUGUAUAUGGCAGUCCCACGCUCGCUCGCUGUAAUUGCCGACGAAAGGAGCAGGGCCAAGGCCUCUGGCCCAAGAAAGUUGAGCAAGACCUGGCAGUCCUGCCACAGAGCAGACAGACUGGGACAAAUCAGAAGGUUGUGGAGCAAUGUAAAGGCCUAACAGAUGUUUGUCUGCAGCAGAAGGCAGGAGUGACAACGGUUAGAAAGUGAGCAGCGAGUUCACCAGAUCACUCCAGAAUUACGUUCAGUCUGGAGAAGAGACAAAUCAGGGGUUUCAGUGCAUCUUGUCACCUCUGAAGGCUGCUGUGGACAGAAGCAGGAUGCAUGGAUCAAUCAUAAGUCUGUGAUGAAGAACUUUGGGCAGAGAAAGUGCUGAGCACCCCGUCACUGGAGCUAUUUGGCUGAUCUGAAGAAGCCUGGCAGAUGAGCCAUUCCAGCUCCUCCUUUUGUAGAUGAGUCUCCUGAAGCCCAGAGAGGAAGAGUGCUUUGUUGAAGGUCACCCAGCAUAUAUCUGGCCUGCUUCAUACUAAGCAGAAUGACCUCACUUCUCUCCCUGCCUCAGCCAUGAUGGGAGGGAAACUUGGCAUCGCCCUGGAUCCUCCUCCAAAGACUCUGCCUCUUUUGCUGCUGAAAUCAGAAAGCUGAGCAAGUGCUUUCUGUUAGCUGGGGGCUCACCCACCAGCUGAAGCUUGCACAUGUCUUUUAUUGCAAAGAUUUUCUUCCUGCUGCACAAAAUUCAUUGAUGACAUUGUGUGGGGGGGGAUCCUGAACAAAUAGAGCCCAGCCACUAAUUUCAAAAGGAAACAUACUUUGUAAUUAGAUGGCAAAAAGCUGGAAAUGAUGAGAAACAAACUCAGUCGAGCCCUGGCUGGUGCAUAAUAAUUGUUUAUACUAAAUUUAUGUCCAUAAUGUACUGUGCAUCCAGGGAAGGUAUGAGAUAAAGAAAUGGGACCCUCCUCCCACUUUUUUCUAUUAAAAGAAGACAACAUUUAAAAAAAUUUUUUUUAAAUUGAAGUAUAGUUGAUUUACAAUGUGUUAAUUUCUGCUGUACACAAAGUGACUCAGUUAUACACAUAUAUGCAUUCUUUUCCAUUAUGGUUUAUCCCAGGAUAUUGGAUAUAGUUCCCUGUGCUACACAGUAGGACCUUGUUGUUUAUCCAUUCUAAAUGUAAUAGUUUGCAUCUACCUACCCCAAAUUCCCAGUCCAUCUCUCUCCCCACUGUUUGGCAACCACAGGUCUGAUCUCUAUGUCUGUGA